Alosa alosa (allis shad) is the source of this 814-nucleotide long non-coding RNA. RefSeq lists it as uncharacterized. The transcript is spliced from 4 exons. The record is from RefSeq and is a predicted model, not a curated record. NCBI's taxonomy places the organism in Eukaryota, Metazoa, Chordata, Actinopteri, Clupeiformes, Clupeidae.
CUGGGGUCCUUAGGUCAGUAGCGUUUCACACAUCAUAUGUGGCUGUGUGAGUGGCAGUGGUUCGGGUGCGGCGUCAAGUUGAAGCGUGUGACUGAGCAGACGCCAGCAAGGCCGCUGUGAGGCAGCUCCACCAAUGCUUGGAGGGGCGAGCUAAUUGUGUCAAAGUUCUCCGUAUGUGAUCAAGCACUUCGCUGGCUAUUGUGGCCGCCAGCGAGGGGGAAGUGUAAACGUCCAAAAGCUUGUGCUAACUUUCACCGCAACAGAUCCAGACUGCUACAUGGUGUUGCUAAGCUGCUGUUCUCUACACUGUAUGUUUGUAUGACUGGUAUGGUUCUUAGACUGUGCAUAUUUUACAUAUGUAUUUUGUUUGCCUCUUCUAGCCUGUGGCUAGGUGUAUAAUAGCGUAUAGGCCGUUCUGUGAGCCACAGGUUAGAGGGGCUUUUCUUUCCUUUUACCCCUGUCUUCCCUUGUCUUCCCCUUAAGGCCCUAAGUAAUUUCAGAUACAGUCGAGCCUGGGUAGUGUGAGGGGCUGCUGGAUAGCGGGUUCCCUUAAAGUUCACUCAAUGACUGGUUGUGGUGCUGUGUGUGAGCCUUAAUGCCUUUAGUUAGGCUUUCCUUAGCGACAGAAGAUUUGCAGUGCAGUGUAUUGUGAAUUCUUAGCGUGUAUUACUUCAAGAAGUGCGGUCAUCAUUCACGUGUAGUAGUGAGACCUAACAUCCUGUUAGUAUUUCAUCUCUCAGCCACUCGACUAGUCUAAACUUGAUGGCUGUAACUUUCCCUUCCCCCCUCCAUGUUUAAUUGUUGACCAACCACA